RNAcentral lists this long non-coding RNA (1083 nucleotides) under Phasianus colchicus (ring-necked pheasant). RNAcentral's name for it is "lncRNA (ENSPCLG00000004433.1)". The record is from RNAcentral. Lineage: Eukaryota; Metazoa; Chordata; Aves; Galliformes; Phasianidae.
GGAAGAAGCAGGAUCCUGUCAGAAACUCCUAGCUGAGUCUUGCCUCUCUAUCAUAAGGCAGAGAUGGGUCUUACCAGAUUUUCAGGCUGAUCCAAUGAAAGAGAUGGAAAAAUCCUACGACCUGUCAGUUUACAAUCAGGCAGCCUCCAGGUGCCAGAGCUUGGGAAUACAAACGCUAUGAAGAGCGCAGAUUUGUUUGAGAAGAUCUAACACAGGAAAAGAGAAUGAAAUUGAGAGGCAGAAUAUCAGAGAAAUGUUUCACAGAAGUGAAGACUACAGAAUAUGACUAGGGAAACGGCAGAAAUGAUCUUACGAGUGGGGCAGUAACAAUGAACCAACUCAUGCACACUGCCCUGUAAAGGAGGAGGAGCUUGCUAACCUACCCAGUAGGGAAAUUGUACAUCAAUUAGUUGAUUUCAGUCUAAGGAAAGAUCCAAGUGUGCUGCCCAAAGAUGGACAUUUUCACUAAUUUAUGCCAGAGGAAGCACUCCUGGAGGAAGUGUAAGAAAACAAAGUUGCCUGGAAGAGACCUUUCCUGAAGUACUGAUUUUGGUUCACACUCUGUGAUGUGACAAAACCACGUUCCUACGACUUUCAGGUGGUUGUACCCGUGCUGGCAAACUUCAUUUCUGACAAGCUGUUGGUAGUUGCUGGUGCUAGGAUUUGUGGCUGGUGUAUGCCAAAGGAUAGAGUAUACCCUUGGAGUAGAAAUGUUGAGUCACAGCCUGAACCAGUGAUUGAACACCUGGUGGAAGGCAGAGCCAACCCAGGAGAGCUCAGGUGCAAAUGAUUGGAAGAGCUGGAGCCAGGAUCCAACCCUUCCAACACCACAUUUAAGGGUUGGCGGUGGAGCUGAGCGUAUCUUGCUGGACAUCCCCGCUUAUCUGAGGUCUUCUGAAGGUAAGUAGCUUCUUUUCUUUAUUUCUGUUGUGGUUGUGUUUGAGCAAAUCUUCACUUGUUGUAGCUUGGGAUCUUGCUGCUAUGCUGUCAUAGCUGUGCUUUCCACUGUGUUACAGCCCUAAAUUGUGCUCUAAGUCUGUGAUAGUUCUAUGGGCUCCUUCCAGAUCUUAUUUAAAAACAAAU